CCCUUAGAUGUUCUGGGCCGCACGCGCGCUACACUGACGGAGCCAACGAGUCUUUUCCUUGUCCGGAAGGACUGGGUAAUCUUGUGAAACUUCGUCGUGCUGGGGAUAGAGCAUUGCAAUUAUUGCUCUUCAACGAGGAAUUCCUAGUAAGCGUGAGUCAUCAGCUCGCGUUGAUUACGUCCCUGCCCUUUGUACACACCGCCCGUCGCUCCUACCGAUUGAAUGAUCCGAUGAAUAUCAUGGAUUGAGGAUGCAAGCAGGUUCGCCUGUCUUCAUCUUCGAGAAGUGAAGUAAAUCUUAUCAUUUAGAGGAAGGAGAAGUCGUAACA
This 328-nucleotide ribosomal RNA is filed under the name uncultured eukaryote. Its description in RNAcentral is "partial 18S ribosomal RNA". It matches the Rfam family "Eukaryotic small subunit ribosomal RNA", at positions 1470 to 1796 of the family's 1831-position model. The record is from RNAcentral.